CAGGCUAAGCAGUUUCAGACCAUGUUGGUGCCUGGAUGAAAGAUGUUCCCUCUGAGUCAGCAGCAUGCUGUUCCAGCAUUUUGCAAGGGGUUUUCUCCUAUUGGCAAAGCCAGAUAUGGUCAUAAAUUAUCCAAGUUUUUAAAGGGACAACACUUUGGUCCACAAUGGAAAUUUCUUUCCAGACCACCUUGUGUAAUCAGGAGCUUGCAUCCAUCUUAUCCUCUUGAUUGAUGGACAUAAGUCUGAACAUGAGAAGAGAUGAGCCCUUGGAUGGUGAAGGUGGAGAGAUGGGGAGUGAGGGAAUUUUGGAUGGCAGUGACUGAAGCUUGGAUAUCUCCCUGCGAGAGCCAAUCUCCUCUGACAAGCCUGAUUAAAGAAGAAAUGGUUUUGGAAGCAUGAGGUCAGUGACUCUGACCAAGCUGCUACUUCAUUUAGAGAGCCAGCUCAUCUGUGUGUUGUGCUGAGGCUCUCGUAACAGUAGAGAGCUGUUAACAAGAGAUGCUUAAUUGUCUCUAGCUGACAGGGAGCUGCCAAGACACUUGGCAGCUCAGAAAGCCUUUCUGCACUCCCAGAAAGACAGGUCUUUGCAGAUGCUGAGGUUUCAAAAGGAGCAGUUGUUCCCAGCAGUCAACAGACUUGAUUUUCAAUUUGUGCUUCUUUUGAACGCAGCAGACCAUCUGCCUCACAUAUAGACCAGGUCCACAAAUGACUAAAUCAGAAUUAAUACUUGGGGUCACUCAAAUCUCUGACAGCUCUGAAUUGUUUAGGCUUAGGUAAAUGAAAGAGGGAAAAAUAAACAUUAUCAGUAAAGACGUCCUUUGGCACUGACAGCAACUUCUGAGUUGAGGGGAGUCCACCUUCAGCAGAAGAACCUACGUUGCCCGUAUGCAAAGAUGAGUGCAAGGCUUUCUCUGCAGUCGAGCACUGUACCCUAAUUACUGAACUGGCAUUUUCUUAUUUUAUUUUAUUUUAUUUUAUUUUGGGGUGUAGAGAAUCGCC
Molecule: long non-coding RNA, 999 nt
Organism: Oxyura jamaicensis (ruddy duck)
Lineage: Eukaryota; Metazoa; Chordata; Aves; Anseriformes; Anatidae
Exons: 3
Source: RefSeq, a predicted model, not a curated record